CGACGUGAGGAACCUGCCUUUCAGAGGGGGACAACAGUUGGAAACGGCUGCUAAUACCGCAUAACGCAUGGGUAUCGCAUGGUAUCUGUGCCAAAGAUUUAUCGCUGAGAGAUGGCCUCGCGUCUGAUUAGCUAGUUGGUGAGGUAACGGCCCACCAAGGCGACGAUCAGUAGCCGGACUGAGAGGUUGGCCGGCCACAUUGGGACUGAGAUACGGCCCAGACUCCUACGGAAGGCAGCAG
RNAcentral lists this ribosomal RNA (241 nucleotides) under uncultured bacterium. Its description in RNAcentral is "partial 16S ribosomal RNA". It matches the Rfam family "Bacterial small subunit ribosomal RNA", at positions 113 to 354 of the family's 1533-position model. The record is from RNAcentral.